GAUGAACGCUGGCGGCGUGCUUAACACAUGCAAGUCGAGCGAGAAGUUUUGAAAAGAUUCUUCGGAUGAAAUUUAAAAUGGAAAGCGGCGGACGGGUGAGUAACGCGUAGGCAACCUGCCCCAUACAAAGGGAUAGCAUUUGGAAACGAAUAUUAAUACCUUAUGAAACUUAACUAGUGCAUGCUAGGUAGGUCAAAGAUUUAUCGGUAUGGGAUGGGCCUGCGUCUGAUUAGCUAGUUGGUGAGGUAACGGCUCACCAAGGCGACGAUCAGUAGCCGACCUGAGGGGGUGAACGGCCACAUUGGAACUGAGACACGGUCCAAACUCCUACGGGAGGCAGCAGUGGGGAAUAUUGCACAAUGGGGGAAACCCUGAUGCAGCAACGCCGCGUGAACGAUGAAGGCCUUUGGGUCGUAAAGUUCUGUUCUAGGUGAUGAAAACUGACAGUAACCUAGGAGAAAGCCCCGGCUAACUCCGUG
RNAcentral lists this ribosomal RNA (479 nucleotides) under uncultured bacterium. RNAcentral describes it as "partial 16S ribosomal RNA". It matches the Rfam family "Bacterial small subunit ribosomal RNA", at positions 28 to 507 of the family's 1533-position model. The record is from RNAcentral.